UUGCUUUGGCUCCACAUACACUAACACUGGAAUGAUACAGAGAUUAGCAUGGCCCCUGUGCAAGGAUGACACGCACAUUCUUGAAGCGUUCCCUAUUUUU
Molecule: small nuclear RNA, 100 nt
Filed under: Saimiri boliviensis boliviensis (Bolivian squirrel monkey)
Lineage: Eukaryota; Metazoa; Chordata; Mammalia; Primates; Cebidae
Source: RNAcentral